CUUUAUCCGAGGGCUCUGCUUUGGGUGCUAAUUAAAUCCCAUCAAGGGAUGGCAUUGCUCCUGGGAGGGAAGAGUUUCCCAAUUAGCAGGCCAAAUAGAGGCCAAGGAAUUGAAUCUGUAGACUCCUUGGAGCAAGUCCUUG
Molecule: non-coding RNA, 142 nt
Organism: Sturnus vulgaris (Common starling)
Lineage: Eukaryota; Metazoa; Chordata; Aves; Passeriformes; Sturnidae
Source: RefSeq, a predicted model, not a curated record